RNAcentral lists this long non-coding RNA (329 nucleotides) under Elaeis guineensis (African oil palm). RNAcentral's name for it is "long non-coding RNA (EGUI_LNC002563)". Lineage: Eukaryota; Viridiplantae; Streptophyta; Magnoliopsida; Arecales; Arecaceae. The record is from RNAcentral.
CCUCUUACUUGGUUCAUGACUGGAAUUAGAAUCAGAAUAAGAAUUAGAAUGGAUUAAAUAGAAAUCAGAAUGACCAAAUCCUCCGAAGCAUUUGGUUCAUGAUCAGAAUCAGAAUUAGAAUUAAAAUAAAAAUUUGAAUCUAUGGUGGAGAAUGGGGAUUGAGUUUUAGAUAGAUUGGGCUAUUUUCAUGCUACCCCGAAAUCAAAAUUAAAAUGGGACUUACCCCAACCAAGCGACUGAAAUAGGAGUCAUCCAUUUGGAUUUCUAUUCCAGACCUCGAUUCCUCCUAACCAAGCACCCCCUAAUGUAUUGGACUUGUGAUGAUGGUU